CAUAUCAAUAAGCGGAGGAAAAGAAACUAACAAGGAUUCCCCUAGUAACUGCGAGUGAAGCGGGAAAAGCUCAAAUUUAAAAUCUGUCAGCUUUGGCUGUCCGAGUUGUAAUCUAGAGAAGCGUUAUCCGCGCUGGACCGUGUACAAGUCUCCUGGAAUGGAGCGUCAUAGAGGGUGAGAAUCCCGUCUUUGACACGGACUGCCAGGGCUUUGUGAUGCGCUCUCAAAGAGUCGAGUUGUUUGGGAAUGCAGCUCAAAAUGGGUGGUAAAUUCCAUCUAAAGCUAAAUAUUGGCGAGAGACCGAUAGCGAACAAGUACCGUGAGGGAAAGAUGAAAAGAACUUUGGAAAGAGAGUUAAACAGUACGUGAAAUUGCUGAAAGGGAAACGCUUGAAGUCAGUCGCGUUGUCCAGGGAUCAACCUUGCUUUUGCUUGGUGUACUUUCUGGUUGACGGGUCAGCAUCAAUUUUGACUAUUGGAAAAAGGUCAGGGGAAUGUGGCAUCUUCGGAUGUGUUAUAGCCCUUGGUUGCAUACAAUGGUUGGGAUUGAGGAACUCAGCACGCCGCAAGGCCGGGUUUUUAACCACGUACGUGCUUAGGAUGCUGGCAUAAUGGCUUUAAUCGACCCGUCUUGAAACACGGACCAAGGAGUCUAACAUGCCUGCGAGUGUUUGGGUGGAAAACCCGAGCGCGUAAUGAAAGUGAAAGUUGAGAUCCCUGUCGUGGGGAGCAUCGACGCCCGGACCAGACCUUUUGUGACGGUUCCGCGGUAGAGCAUGUAUGUUGGGACCCGAAAGAUGGUGAACUAUGCCUGAAUAGGGUGAAGCCAGAGGAAACUCUGGUGGAGGCUCGUAGCGAUUCUGACGUGCAAAUCGAUCGUCAAAUUUGGGUAUAGGGGCGAAAGACUAAUCGAACCAUCUAGUAGCUGGUUCCUGCC
Molecule: ribosomal RNA, 936 nt
Filed under: Cortinarius subcastanellus
Lineage: Eukaryota; Fungi; Basidiomycota; Agaricomycetes; Agaricales; Cortinariaceae
Description: partial large subunit ribosomal RNA
Rfam family: Eukaryotic large subunit ribosomal RNA
Source: RNAcentral